GCCCAUGCGGUAAGCACAUAGCGAACUAUUCUUUCGCCUUUUACUAAAGAAUACCGUGUGCUUGCCGCUCUAUUGUGGCAUACGCUUAUUUUUGGAGGGGUUGAUCUCACUGGAUAU
This is a small nuclear RNA of Jatropha curcas, 117 nucleotides long. RefSeq annotates it as U5 spliceosomal RNA. NCBI's taxonomy places the organism in Eukaryota, Viridiplantae, Streptophyta, Magnoliopsida, Malpighiales, Euphorbiaceae. The record is from RefSeq and is a predicted model, not a curated record.